Oncorhynchus gorbuscha (pink salmon) is the source of this 1311-nucleotide long non-coding RNA. RefSeq lists it as uncharacterized. NCBI's taxonomy places the organism in Eukaryota, Metazoa, Chordata, Actinopteri, Salmoniformes, Salmonidae. The transcript is spliced from 3 exons. The record is from RefSeq and is a predicted model, not a curated record.
GGUAUGUCAACUAAGCAUGGCAGUAAGGCACUGAGCUACUAAUUGCUUUGUCUGGGCUGUUGGUGGUUUAAGGCUUUGAUAUGGCUUUUGGAAUUAAUUUGGGGAUUGUGUUCCUUUGCUCAUUGUUUGCAGAACACUCAAGUUUUACAUGGGCUCCACGUGAUGCCCAGAGAGUAAGAGGCUAUGGGUUUUCUGGCUCUUCCAGAAUGGAAGUUGAGCAGAGGCAAACAGGUGGCAGCUAUCCCCAGGAUCAAUUCAGACCAGCCUCUCACACUUCUGGUUCGGUCCAGAGUGAAGCUACUUACCGCGGGACUGGAUACAACACACUCGGAGGCUUUGCUCCAAGCUCCUCCAGCCAGCCCCAAGGGGCUCUGGAUCUAUCCCCAGCAGCUUUACCUCCGCCCAGACAAAGGGUAAGAGGACCCGUGCCAAGAAUACUGACAUUAGCCUCUCUGGUUCUAUAGCCAGUGGAUCCUCUGUCACCCACAACAAGCAUCAAACCAAGGCCAGCAGAACCUAUGGUCAAAGUGUCACUGACCCCAGUGCAUUAAGGCCAGUUUCAAGUUGGGAGGUAAAGAGAAUCCAGGCCAACACUCUUCGUACUGUACAGCCUCUCUCCGGCAGCUCUGGACUAGUCCAGAAUCCUGAUGUUGUGUUUAAUGUCCAGAGUAGAACUGCCUCUAACCUGAAACCAUCUACUCCUAACUAUGGCUCUACCCAGAGUGAAUUCAAGUUCUCCACCUCCAGACAACCCAACCAAGGCCUUGUCCAGACUCUGAGUAGAGGAGCCCCCAGCCUCUAUGGUCAAACUGCCACCCACACCACCUCCCUCACCCACUAUGUCCAGGACCUGAAGCAAGGGAGCAGCUUCCCUUCCCUGGCUUUCAAGGGACCAAUGGAGAUCUCUGCCCGGUCAAUUUCCACUCCUGACCGUGAAGUUCCCUCAAGUGGUUCUUCACAAACUUCAUUUAGACCAGGUCCUCUGAGUUUUGGUUCUACUGAAGGUGGGAGUGCAACAAACAGCUACAAGCCUAGCUUCUCCCAAGAUGUCAUGGAAUACCAGAGCAACUCUGCCAGUAGAAGUGUUUCAACUUCCAAUCAAUAUGCCCAAACCUCUGGCCAGAGAAUAGAUGGAGCCUCUACCUCAAGUCGCGGCAUGCCCACUUCUAGCCUGGCCUCUCGCUCCAGUCUUUUUCGCCCCAGCUCUACAGCUAGUGGAAACUCCUAUGGCGCCUACAAGCCUGGCUCUGACCUUGGUGCAACACCAAGCCAAAGCCUGUUUACCUCUAACCAAGGUGGAAGGGGUUCAAC